GUCUACGGCCAUGCAACCCUGAAUGUGCUCGAUCCUGUCUGAUCUCAGAAGCUGAGCAGAGUUGAGCCUGGUUAGUACUUAGAUGGGAGACCACUUACGAGGACCAGGUGCUGUAGACA
Molecule: ribosomal RNA, 119 nt
Filed under: Pteropus alecto (black flying fox)
Lineage: Eukaryota; Metazoa; Chordata; Mammalia; Chiroptera; Pteropodidae
Source: RNAcentral